AUUGAACGCUGGCGGCAUGCCUUACACAUGCAAGUCGAACGGUAACAGGUCUUCGGAUGCUGACGAGUGGCGAACGGGUGAGUAAUACAUCGGAACGUGCCUAGUAGUGGGGGAUAACUACUCGAAAGAGUGGCUAAUACCGCAUGAGAUCUACGGAUGAAAGCAGGGGAUCGCAAGACCUUGUGCUACUAGAGCGGCCGAUGGCAGAUUAGGUAGUUGGUGGGAUAAAAGCUUACCAAGCCGACGAUCUGUAGCUGGUCUGAGAGGACGAUCAACCACACUGGGACUGAGACACGGCCCAGACUCCUACGGGAGGCAGAAGUGGGGAAUUUUGGACAAUGGGCGCAAGCCUGAUCCAGCAAUGCCACGUGCAGGAUGAAGGCCUUCGGGUUGUAAACUGCUUUUGUACGGAACGAAAAGCCCCGGGUUAAUACCCCGGGGUCAUGACGGUACCGUAAGAGUAAGCACCGGCUAACUACGUGCCAGCCGCCGCCGUAA
Molecule: ribosomal RNA, 498 nt
Filed under: uncultured bacterium
Lineage: Bacteria
Description: partial 16S ribosomal RNA
Rfam family: Bacterial small subunit ribosomal RNA
Source: RNAcentral